Alligator sinensis (Chinese alligator) is the source of this 774-nucleotide long non-coding RNA. RefSeq lists it as uncharacterized. The record is from RefSeq and is a predicted model, not a curated record. The transcript is spliced from 4 exons. Lineage: Eukaryota; Metazoa; Chordata; Crocodylia; Alligatoridae.
GGGGCCCGGACGCGCAGCCGCUUCCGGGUUCCGGGGGCAGGGCUCGGCCGCGGGGCAUCAUGGGAGUGCGGGCAAGGGGGCUCCUGCCGUAGAGGAUCACGGGAGUGCGGGUAUAGGAGCUCCUGCCGCAGGGCAUCAUGGGAGGGCAGGCAAGGAGCUGGGGGGGCUCCUGUCCUGGGGUAUCUUGGGAGUGCGAGUAAGGGGGCUUCUGCUGCAGGGCAUCAUGGGAGUACAGGCAAGGGGGCUCCUACCGCAGAGGAUCAUGGGAGUGCAAGCAAGGGGGGCUCCUGUCUCAGGGCAUCAUGGGAAUGCAGCUAAAUCACAGGAAUGCAGCCAAGGCAGCUUCCUGCCUCUGGGGAUGAUGGGAGUGUGGUGACCAGCAACCCCUGACCCCCUAGGGGUAGUCGGCGUGGCGGGCCCAGGGCAGGCGAGUGCGCAGCAGCAGGAGGCAGGCAGCGGCUCCAAGGGCCAGCAGCAGCGCCAGGCCCAGCGCGAUGUAGGCACCCGUGGUCAGCCAGAAGGCAAAGAGUGGACUCAGGCAUCUGGGCCUGUGACUCACCAGCGAUGAACCAGGCAAAGAGGAAGAGGAGGAAGAGCGCAUGGCAGCCCCAGACUCCAGGCUUCACUGGGGGCGGCUCAGCCCCAUCGCCACAGGGCAGGCAGGUCAGCAUCAGGCUCAGCAGGGCCACGACCCCCAUGCCCAGCAGGCACCACACGACCCUUGACCCUGUCCUGGGCUUUAUUGGAGCCACAAGCAAGGUACAGCAGGACCCC